This 6400-nucleotide unclassified non-coding RNA is filed under the name Haliotis rufescens (red abalone). RNAcentral's name for it is "endoplasmic reticulum transmembrane helix translocase-like, transcript variant X1". The record is from RNAcentral. Lineage: Eukaryota; Metazoa; Mollusca; Gastropoda; Lepetellida; Haliotidae.
UUUGCUGCGGAAUAUGAGACUUCAAGAUGGCUGCGCCCUUAAAUGACGAGAUCCAAUCUGUUUCCUACUAUAAUAUUCGACAUGUAUCAUUGCAUGGCUAUGUUGCGCCCUUUAUUUUCAUUUAUAUAGCUUGGUUUUAUACGUGGGCUAAUGUCUAUGGAAUUCAGGAUUACUACGAGGGCGGUUUGAUAGCUUUGGCAAUUAUCGGCUUGGUGCAGAUUCUGACGGCGUUGUUUUGUUUGUGGUCGAUUCAUGUGAGAUGUGCACUCACAUGUUCUAAAGAAACCAGUCCGUUCAAGGCGUCCUGGGUGAAGGUUGUGCCAACACCAAACAAUGGAUCUACAGAACUUAUUCGACUGCAUCACCAAAAGAAGGAGAAAGGGGAGGAGAUAUGGUUCAACUUCCAGAAGACCAAGUACCUGUAUGAUGCGGACGAGCGGAAACAGUUCUACACGUUGUCCUUCCCCGACAACCACAGCAUCAAGUACUACAUGGAGUGGAAGGGCUACCAGGAUGAGGUGGAGAUGAAGGCGGCAGAGUCCAAGUUCGGACUCAACAACAUGACCAUGGACAUCCCCGCGUUCAUGGAGCUGUUCAGUGAGAGGGCCACCGCACCAUUCUUCGUGUUCCAAGUGUUCUGCGUGGGUCUGUGGUGCCUGGACGAGUACUGGUACUACAGUGUGUUUACACUGUUCAUGUUGAUAGCGUUCGAGGCCACGCUCGUACAACAGCAGCUUCGCAACAUGUCGGAGAUCAGGAAGAUGGGGAAUAAACCCUAUGUGAUGCAGGCCUAUCGGAACCGGAAGUGGCUGCGAAUUUUAUCUGAUGAAAUAGUCCCAGGGGACAUAAUCUCAAUAGGGCGAUCUCAGGACGACCGCCUCGUACCAUGUGACAUGCUGCUACUGAGGGGCCCCUGUAUAGUAGAUGAGUCCAUGCUGACAGGGGAGUCGGUGCCCGUCAUGAAGGAGCCGGUGGAGUGCCUGGAUCUGGAUCACAUGUUCGACCUGGAGCAUGACGGCAAGCUGCACGUGCUGUAUGGUGGUACAAAGGUAGUGCAGCACUCGCCCCCCAGCAAGACCGGACCGGGACUCAAAUCCAGUGACAAUGGGUGUAUAGCAUUCGUAUUGCGGCACAGUUUCAACACGUCUCAGGGCAAGCUGCUGCGCACCAUCUUGUACGGUGUGAAGAGAGUGACGGCCAACAACCUCGAGACGUUCUGCUUCAUCCUCUUUCUCCUCAUCUUCGCCGUCACUGCGGCCAGCUAUGUCUGGAUAGAAGGCACCAAGAAUCCUGACCGAAACCGCUACAAGCUGUUCUUGGAGUGUACUCUCAUCCUGACUUCAGUGGUGCCACCGGAGCUGCCCAUAGAACUGUCUCUGGCUGUCAACACAUCGCUACUGGCUCUCACCAAGCUGUAUGUGUACUGCACCGAGCCCUUCCGUAUACCCUUUGCUGGUAAAGUAGACAUCUGCUGUUUUGACAAGACAGGCACGCUCACAAGUGACAACCUGGUGGUGGAGGGUGUUGCUGGUCUCAAUGGGUCCGAGAUCAUCUCAGCACAAGAUGCCCCACUGGAGACGGCACAGGUGAUGGCAACGUGUCACUCUUUGGUUCAGCUGGAUGAUGAGAUGGUAGGCGACCCGCUGGAGAAAGCCACUCUCAAUGCCGUGGAGUGGACACUCACUAAAGGUGAGGCUGUGGUUCCGCAGAAGAAGAAGACACAUGGCAUGAAGAUCUUCCACAGAUUCCACUUCUCCAGUGCCCUGAAGAGAAUGUCCGUGAUUGCUGGUCACACAAUGCCUGGCUCCAUGGAAACAGACUACAUGGCCACAGUAAAGGGAGCACCAGAGACACUUAAACCCAUGUUCAAGAACCCGCCAGCGGACUAUGAUGACGUGUACCUGACCAUGGCCAGGAGAGGUGCUAGAGUGCUGGCCCUUGGAUACAAACGCAUGGGAAGCCUUUCACAUCAAGAGGUGCGGGAGAUGACGCGGGAGGAGGCGGAGUGUCAGCUGGAGUUUGCAGGCUUCAUCAUCAUCUCUUGUCCCCUCAAGGCCGACUCCAAGGCCUCUGUCAAGGAAAUCUACAACGCCUCCCAUGUGGUUGCCAUGAUUACUGGAGACAACCCACUGACAGCCUGCCAUGUUGCCAAGGAGCUGAGAAUCACCCGGCGAGAGACUGUCAUCCUGCAAGGGCCAAAUGAUAAAGCCCGAGGCUGGCACUGGCAGUCAAUCGAUGAUCGUGUUGUCAUCCCAGCCAUACCAAUGGACAUGAAGAAAGAGCUUCUAGCUGCAUACGACCUGUGUCUCACGGGAGAGGCCCUCACUUGGCUGCAGACAGAACACUACAAGCUCCUGAGAAUCGUGCUGCCAAAUACUAAAGUCUUUGCCAGGGUAGCCCCAAAACAAAAGGAGUUCAUAGUUACAGCCCUGAAGGGCAUGGGCUACACCAUUCUCAUGUGUGGAGAUGGAACUAAUGAUGUUGGGGCUCUCAAACACGCUCAUGUUGGUGUUGCACUACUGGCCAACGCUCCAGAGAGGCUGCCCGACAAGAAGAGGAGAAGAGAUGAGAACAGCAGCAGUGUAGAUGGCGAGACCCCCAAUGACAAGCUGCAGAUGAUGAGUCAGCGCGGUGGGGGCAAGGUGUCAGGACGGGCUGCCAAGCAGAGAGCCAUUGCAAGGGGAGAUAACCUCGCUCCUGCACAGAAAAAGCUUGCUGCCAUGUUGAAAGAACUUGAAGAAGAGGAAAAAUCACAGAUUGUUAGACUUGGAGAUGCCAGCAUAGCAUCCCCUUUCACAUCCAAACUAUCCACAGUGGCUAGUGUGUGUCACAUCAUCAAACAAGGGCGAUGUACUCUUGUGACAACCCUGCAGAUGUUUAAGAUCCUGGCCCUGAAUGCCCUGAUCCUGGCUUACAGCCAGAGCGUGCUGUACCUGGACGGCAUCAAGUUCAGUGACGGCCAGGCCACCAUGCAGGGUCUGCUGCUGGCUGGCUGCUUCCUGUUCAUCUCUCGGUCCAAGCCACUGAAGACACUGUCGAAGGAGCGUCCACUGCCAAACAUCUUCAACCUGUACACAAUACUUACAGUGCUGUCUCAGUUUGCUGUACAUUUUAGUAGUUUAGUCUAUUUAGUCGGGGAGGCGCAUCGACACGAUGCAGCAAGAAAAGAAGAGUUUCCAGAUUUAGAAGCAGAGUUCAAGCCAACCAUCUUAAACACAACUGUAUAUAUCAUGUCCAUGGCUUUACAAGUCUCAACAUUUGCUGUCAACUAUAGGGGAGAACCAUUUAUGGAGAGUUUAAAGGACAAUAAACCCCUCCUGUACAGUUUGAUGUUCUCGGGCGGCGCCAUCUUUGCACUGGCAAGUGGACUGCUUCCUGACCUUGCAGACCAGUUUCAACUGGUGGCCUUGCCAGAUGAGUUUCGCAACACAGUUCUUGGUGUCAUAUCGGCCGACAUUGUUUUAGCAUUUGUAGUCGACAGAGUUAUACGAUUUUGCCUAGGAACGGGGAAGUUAAAAUCUACAUAUUAAUUUAUUUUUAUAUAACAUUGCCUUUCACAUGCUUUUAUUAACAUGGCUGUGUCUCAAAUACAGGAUUUCCCCCUAGCCCCUUGAGGUACUGUUUCUCAGUCACACAUCAUUCCUACAUUGACUUUCAUCCUAUGGUUUACAAUGGGGCCAGUUGGUGUUGGAGGUGCACCCGCUCUUCAGAUGCUAAUGUGCUGUCAUGUGGCGUCUCCAUGUGUGUCUGGUGCACUGCACUAAGGAACAUCACAUGAAGCAGUAUACAUUAACUCAAUCAUGCCUCUCUUAUAGAAUAUUAUCCUUAGACUGAGCUGCUUUUGUUGUGCUAUGAAAUCCUGAAUAAGUAUUAUCUGAUACCAGUAUAUUUGAUAAUUCUGUGACGUAACAUGGAUCCCAUGUCAGCUGGAUGACAUCCCAUGUUUGCAAGGUGAUGUCCCAUGUUUGCAAGGUGAUGUCCCAUGUUUGCAAGGUGAUGUCCCAUGUUGCAAGGUGAUGUCCCAUGUUUGAUUGGAUGAAAUCCCAUGUUUGCAAGGUGGUGUCCCAUGUUUGAUUGGAUGACAUCCCAUGUUUGCAAGCUGACAUCCCAUGUUUGCAAGGUGAUGUCCCAUGUUUGCUAGGUGAUGUCCCAUGUUUGCAAGGUGGUGUCCCAUGUUUGAUUGGAUGACAUCCCAUGUUUGCAAGCUGACGUCCCAUGUUUGCAAGCUGACAUCCCAUGUUUGAUUGGAUGACAUCCCAUGUUUGCAAGGUGAUGUCCCAUGUUUGAUUGGAUGACAUCCCAUGUUUGCAAGCUGACGUCCCAUGUUUGCAAGGUGAUGUCCCAUGUUUGAUUGGAUGACAUCCCAUGUUUGCAAGGUAAUUUCCCAUGUUUGCAAGGUGAUGUCCCAGGUUUGACUGGAUGACAUGUCUGCUAGGUGAUGUCCCAUAUUUGAUUGGAUGGCAAUCUGUUGAGAUCUACUACAUGUACAUGUAUAUGCACAUUCAAUUUCAAAUGCAAAAAUCUGUUUGGAAAUUUUUUGUUUGUUUGUAUGACAUAUAGCAAAAUUUGCAGCAGAUUAAACAUCAAUCAACACCUAUGCAUUUCAUAUUUCAUGUGUUAUUUGUAGUUGAGUAGGUGUGGGAAUUAAGAAUCAGUGUCCCUAUUACUGUGGUAUUGUUUGUUAACAAAGCAAAUGUACUGUUCCUGUUAGCCUCAACGGAGAUAUGGGCUUAGUGCUAUCCAAGGGGAGAUAACUUAAUAGGUACCCUGACAGUGGGGAGGAAGCCUGUAUUCGAGACAAAGCUUUCUCCAGUCACCUCAGUGAGAGCCAGAGUUUUGUAACACUAUUUUUGAUUGGGCGGAGAUGUGGAUCUCAAGCAGACCAAUUGAUAGUAUAAGUAACCAUGUGAUUAUGUCAUAAUUGUGAUUGGAUGACAGGCUUGUAUAUUAUAGACCCAGGGACAAAUUCUGACUAUGAAGCAACUGUUUGAUGUCUAUAAUGAGACUUUUGAUGAGGAGCAGGCAACUGUUGAUAGAUGUGAUGCUCUAAUUGUGUAUUCCUGUACCAAUAUGGAAUCACUCUUGAUUUGGCUUUGUUAUUCAUGGAGCUUGAUCUACCAUGUCUCUUAUGUUGAGUUGUUUCCCUUAGACAUGCCAGAAUCCUGUGAUUGAGGGUUGAAAUUCGCACAUCUGCCUGAUUAUGAUUCUUGGUAUCACCAUACACGUCACUGUAUUGGAAAUAUCUUAAGACCUGCAUCAUUUUGAGCUUUCUUAUACAAUAACCUGACGUGCCGUGAUGUAACUGAAAUACUGAUCAAAGUGGGGUCAAAUCAAAUUCACUCACUCUCGAUUACUGUAUCUGUACUAUUCACACAAGGGGUUUCCCAGAAAUGUGGAAGUAGUGGGUCACUGUCUACAUCACUUUCAAGUGAAAGUGUGCUGUUUGCACGUUAUGAACAUCAGUUUUGUUGUCAUGUGCCCAUUAUCUCACUGACAAAGCAUAUGUCGCAUAAACAUUACAUUAAUACAUUAUGCCCUGAUUAGUUCAACUCUGUUCUAAUGUGAUAACAUGUUUGAAUUUGUCUCGUGGGUGACAGUUGAGUGAGUGUAUUGUGUCGUUCCUCGUGUUCACACGUGCGUCCUAUUGAUGUCCACAUGGAGAUAAGGCCCUGCUAGAUGUUAGCAAGAAAUAAGGCUGCAUUGACGCAGAAGUCACAGUAAGAAACGCAUCUUGUUAUAUGACCAGUGGGGACAUUAGCAUUGUCAAAAUAAAUAUUGCCUUGAAUACUCUGACAGUUUAUCCAGUAAAACUGCAUUUCAGGAAAAGAAGUUUUCUUAUCAAAAUAUAUAUAAGCAUUGGAAAAAAGUUCAGAACCAUGUGUCGUAUCAAUAUCUACAUAUGACACAUAUCUCAUUUUUGUAAAGUACCUGUUGAAAAAUUGGUACGAGAGCAGUAAGAUUGUCACUUUGUAAACACGCACAAAUGUGUUUCAUUAUAAUGUUAAUACAGGAAACAAUUUUUUAAAUAGCUACUUUAUGUGCAAGUACGUUGUGACCCAUGUUUAACCUGUUCCCAUGUUUAAGCAUUUUAACCAGUGACUAAAUAUGAGCAACUACACAUGUCUAGGACGUGUUGGGGAAGUUGUUAACGCCAUAGCUAUUUGCAAAACCGACUUUUGUAAUACAUAGUACAUGGUCACAUUGAUGAGUUCUGCAUGAUGAGGUAACAAGCAUCGAGUAUUGUCGUCCCAGGGUCAAGUCUCAGGAUGUGCAGAUGAAUCAUUGACCCAUGUAUAGUGUACUGUGUAUAUGUUUAAGGGAUGACCGAGGGUUGUGUUGGGUGCCUUUGUUCUGGUAUUGUCAGUUGGAUAACUUGACCUGAAUAAACCACUGAACUGGA